UACUCCCUUUUUAUCAUGUAAUUAUCAGUUAUCAUAGUCAAUUCAAUAUUCUUUCGAUAUCCAGUAUUUGGGUCAAUAUUCGGACAUUCUAUCGUUCCGACAACGGUCUAUUCCAUGACCAAGGACCACCUAGAACUUGAUUUGCCUUGGACCAGCUGUUUCAAACACUAUCCCUUCCUCCCAAAACUGCUCUCGGCCCAACAUUUGCAGCACGUCAAUGAUCAUGAACCGGGACCAUCCAGCGGAAGUGUCAUCUGAGUUUGGCGAGAAGCUGGCUCAUAUUUCUAUCGCCCGUCCUACCACUGCAGCUUGCGAGUAAACACCAUUCUGACCGGAACAAUUAAAGUUUCAAGUUUCACCACUGGAGUUUUCAACAUAUGCUCUUCUGUCACGUUUGGAGAUGGUUCGGUGAGGUUUCUUGGUGCCCUGAUUUCCCCCCAUUCUGCGUUGGAGCCGAGUUCGCUCAGAAACGACUCUCGAUGAGGUUGUUGUGACGAACCUUUCCCACUACACCUGGUUCCUUGCCCACAACGUUUGUUAAAGGCACCUUGCUAUCCAAAUAACUCAACGACCUUUCUAUGUCGAUUGACUUGAAAAGCGCCUACCGGGGUAUAGCUGAAGCGGUGCCGGAACGCUCGAAGGCAACCUUCCCGACCAUUUGUGCAAUGCAACGCAAAAUGGAGAAAUAGUGAUAAGCGACCUCGGUAUGGAUGAGCUCAUGGGCAUUGGAAAUCUUCCUGCUACUCCAUUAAUAUAUAUAUAUGAAAAUAGGCGUCUUUCAACAACAGUCAACUACUUUUGGGUUCUAUAAACUAGUUCUCUAGCAGCUUCUUCAUUUGCAAACCAGCACAAUGACGCUGUGGAAAACAAACAGGGUGCUUAGAAAAAAAUACUAAAUGAUGUCCUUCUAAAGAAAAUAAAAGAGAGAGUUGGAUAAAUACAGAUAGAGAUAAAAGCAG
RNAcentral lists this small RNA (959 nucleotides) under Histoplasma capsulatum. RNAcentral's name for it is "hypothetical RNA". Lineage: Eukaryota; Fungi; Ascomycota; Eurotiomycetes; Onygenales; Ajellomycetaceae. The record is from RNAcentral. RNAcentral also lists the same sequence under 1 other name.